RNAcentral lists this ribosomal RNA (473 nucleotides) under uncultured bacterium. RNAcentral's name for it is "bacterial SSU rRNA". It matches the Rfam family "Bacterial small subunit ribosomal RNA", at positions 335 to 800 of the family's 1533-position model. The record is from RNAcentral.
ACUCCUACGGGAGGCAGCAGUGGGGAAUAUUGCACAAUGGGCGCAAGCCUGAUGCAGCCAUGCCGCGUGUAUGAAGAAGGCCUUCGGGUUGUAAAGUACUUUCAGCAGUGAGGAAGGUGGGUAUGUUAAUAGCAUACUCAUUUGACGUUAGCUGCAGAAGAAGCACCGGCUAACUCCGUGCCAGCAGCCGCGGUAAUACGGAGGGUGCGAGCGUUAAUCGGAAUUACUGGGCGUAAAGCGCAUGCAGGUGGUUUGUUAAGUCAGAUGUGAAAGCCCGGGGCUCAACCUCGGAAUUGCAUUUGAAACUGGCAAACUAGAGUACUGUAGAGGGGGGUAGAAUUUCAGGUGUAGCGGUGAAAUGCGUAGAGAUCUGAAGGAUACCGGUGGCGAAGGCGGCCCCCUGGACAGAUACUGACACUCGAGAUGCGAAAGCGUGGGGAGCAAACAGGAUUAGAUACCCUGGUAGGCUCAGC